AUGCAGUGAUGAAAAGUGUGUUACAUGUGAUGUUGGGUCAUCACAGUUGUUCGAUUUCUUUCGAAUGAUUAAGCACAUCUGAGCAU
This is a small nucleolar RNA of Erigeron canadensis, 86 nucleotides long. RefSeq annotates it as small nucleolar RNA snoR114. The transcript has a single exon. The record is from RefSeq and is a predicted model, not a curated record. Lineage: Eukaryota; Viridiplantae; Streptophyta; Magnoliopsida; Asterales; Asteraceae.